This is a ribosomal RNA of Microdochium bolleyi, 120 nucleotides long. The record is from Rfam. NCBI's taxonomy places the organism in Eukaryota, Fungi, Ascomycota, Sordariomycetes, Xylariales, Microdochiaceae.
ACAUACGACCAUAGGAUCGAGAAAAUUGAGGGUCCCGUCCGCUCCCCUGUACACAAGCUCGAUACCGCCGGAUCAGUAGUUGGGUCGGUGACGACCAGCGAAUCCCCGGUGUUGUAUGUU